This 434-nucleotide ribosomal RNA is filed under the name uncultured Blautia sp. RNAcentral's name for it is "partial 16S ribosomal RNA". It matches the Rfam family "Bacterial small subunit ribosomal RNA", at positions 341 to 792 of the family's 1533-position model. The record is from RNAcentral. Lineage: Bacteria; Bacillati; Bacillota; Clostridia; Lachnospirales; Lachnospiraceae.
ACGGAAGGCAGCAGUGGGGAAUAUUGCACAAUGGGGGAAACCCUGAUGCAGCGACGCCGCGUGAAGGAAGAAGUAUCUCGGUAUGUAAACUUCUAUCAGCAGGGAAGAAAAUGACGGUACCUGACUAAGAAGCCCCGGCUAACUACGUGCCAGCAGCCGCGGUAAUACGUAGGGGGCAAGCGUUAUCCGGAUUUACUGGGUGUAAAGGGAGCGUAGACGGAAUUGCAAGUCUGAUGUGAAAGGCAUGGGCUCAACCCGUGGACUGCAUUGGAAACUGUGAUUCUUGAGUGCCGGAGGGAUAAGCGGAAUUCCUGGUGUAGCGGUGAAAUGCGUAGAUAUCAGGAGGAACACCGGUGGCGAAGGCGGCUUACUGGACGGCAACUGACGUUGAGGCUCGAAGGCGUGGGGAGCGAACAGGAUUAGAUACCCUGGUA